GAAAUGCGAUAAGUAAUGAGAAUUGCAGAAUUCAGUGAAUCAUCGAAUCUUUGAACGCACCUUGCGCUCCUUGGUAUUCCCUGGAGCAUGCCUGUUUGAGUAUCAUGAAAUCUUCAAAGUAAAUCUUUUGUUAACUCAAUUGGUUUCUACUUUGGUAUUGGAGGUCUUUGCAGCUUCACACCUGCUCCUCUUUGUUCAUUAGCUGGAUCUCAGUGUUAUGCUUGGUUCCACUCGGCGUGAUAAGUUAUCUAUCGCUGAGGACACUGUAAAAGGUGGCCAAGGUAAAUGCAGAUGAACCGCUUCUAAUAGUCCAUUGACUUGGACAAUACUUUUAUGAUCUGAUCUCAAAUCAGGUAGGACUACCCGCUGAACUUAAGC
Molecule: unclassified non-coding RNA, 378 nt
Filed under: plant metagenome
Description: partial contains 5.8S ribosomal RNA, internal transcribed spacer 2, and large subunit ribosomal RNA
Rfam family: 5.8S ribosomal RNA (bases 1-105)
Source: RNAcentral